Molecule: ribosomal RNA, 373 nt
Filed under: Gammaproteobacteria bacterium
Lineage: Bacteria; Pseudomonadati; Pseudomonadota; Gammaproteobacteria
Description: bacterial LSU rRNA
Rfam family: Bacterial large subunit ribosomal RNA
Source: RNAcentral
GUAUGGCUGUUCGCCAUUUAAAGUGGUACGCGAGCUGGGUUUAGAACGUCGUGAGACAGUUCGGUCCCUAUCUGCCGUGGGCGCAGGAAAUUUGAGAAGAGUUGCUCCUAGUACGAGAGGACCGGAGUGAACGAACCUCUGGUGUUCGGGUUGUGUCGCCAGACGCAUUGCCCGGUAGCUACGUUCGGACAGGAUAACCGCUGAAAGCAUCUAAGCGGGAAGCCUCCUUCAAGACGAGAUUUCCCUUAGGACUUGAUCCUACUAAAGUGCCGUUCAAGACGAGGACGUUGAUAGGCUGGGUGUGUAAGCGUUGUGAGGCGUUGAGCUAACCAGUACUAAUUGCACGUGAGGCUUGACCAUAUAAUCAUGGGUU